GAUGAACGCUGGCGGCGUGCCUAAUACAUGCAAGUCGAGCGAACAGAUGAGGAGCUUGCUCCUCUGACGUUAGCGGCGGACGGGUGAGUAACACGUGUAUAACCUACCUAUAAGACUGGGAUAACUUCGGGAAACCGGAGCUAAUACCGGAUAAUAUAUUGAACCGCAGGGUUCAAUAGUGAAAGACGGUUUUGCUGUCACUAAUAGAUGGAUCCGCGCCGCAUUAGCUAGUUGGUAAGGUAACGGCUUACCAAGGUUACGAUGCGUAGCCGCCCUGCGAGGGUGGUCAGCCACACUGGGACGGUGACACGCCCCAGUCUCCUACGGGUGGCGCCCGUAGUGCUUCGUCCGCAAUGGGCGAAGGCUUGACCGCGCAGCGCCGCGUGCGUGAUGAGCAUCUUCGGGUGCGAGAUCUCUGUUAUUAGGUUGGAACAAGUGUGUGAGUGACUCUGCGCGUGUUUACGGUUCCUGGUCAGAGAGCCACCGCUAACUUCGUU
RNAcentral lists this ribosomal RNA (497 nucleotides) under uncultured bacterium. RNAcentral's name for it is "partial 16S ribosomal RNA". It matches the Rfam family "Bacterial small subunit ribosomal RNA", at positions 28 to 507 of the family's 1533-position model. The record is from RNAcentral.